ACCUCAAGAUGGACAGCCAGCCAGAAUAGGGGCGGAAACUUCUGUUCCGCCAUGCUGCAGACUCGGUGGCUCCCUGAGUGCGGGCUACUCUCCUGAUCCGUGUGCUGGACUGUGACCCGCUGCCGGGGCUUUUAGGAGAGCGGGGUGAGCUCGGAAUCCGCCAUGGCUACAAAUGGGAAGACCACAACAUUGAAGAGCAUUGUCAAAGUUCUAGAAGACAUGAAAGGUGUAUCAUCUGUCACUCCUGAUACAAACCAUGUGAUCCUGAGCAGCAUGAAAAGAAACAAUGUACUGCUGUGUCUUCCAGAACAUUUAGAAAAUAUAUAGUAGUCCUCACUAUGCAUAGACUUGCUCCUCCAGCUCUGUGCAAUCAAGGACAGUGACUUAGUACAAAGAGUCUGUAGAAAUCACCAGAAAGAUAGCAAACCUCCAGCUGUAGAGCAAAAGGACCAUAUCAUCAGAAUUCAUGUCUGCUCACCUGGGUCCAUUUUAAAGCCCUGUAACAUCAAGGGAGAAGUUAUUCUAUGAAACACACAGAGCCCUAUGUCCCCCCGGAAUGUCCUUCUGGUGAUGCUAUCCUCUUUGACCUGUGUGUCUGUGGAUGCUCAUGCAUGAAAUGACAAUGACACUUAUUUACAACAUCUUGAAUCAAAACCACCCUGGAUAUCCUGCAUUUAAAAAAUACAAAGGGGAGAUGACACCCUGGAGUGGAGUACUUACUGUGAACACAUUUCUGAGUGUUUGGGGUGAAUGCAUGCCACAGAGCAUAGGUGGCAGUUAGAGAACAACUUGAGAAUUGGUUCUCACCAUGUUAGAAGCAAACUCAGGUCAGUAAUACUGGCAGCAAGCCACUUUCUCAGCUGAUUCAACUCCCUGACUCUAAUUAUACAUUUUGAGAAACAGAUAGAGGUGAUUGUUGAUUUCAGACAGAUUGCGGAAAUUAAAAGAUGAGUAAGUGACCAUGGCUUGACCCUGAUUUGUCUCCUGAAGAAAUGGCUCAUCUGACUUUGGGUCGGACUCCCUGAAUUAUUGCCAUACCAUCACCUUCUAAAAAUCAACUGUAUCUUUCCUACCUGGAGUCUGCAACAAAACCUCCCAACAUCAAGAAAUGACUCCACAUCGAGCAGCUCUAUUCAACAUAACUUUAUAAAAUUUGGCUAUUCAAAAAGGGGGAAAUGAAGGAGAUUUGCUGAACUGACACCAGGCCAGGACAAUGCACUGGCCAGAAGUUCCUUGAAAACAAGAGGAUGUAUUUAGAGUUAUGGCAGAAUACUGCCUUUACACUCCAACAAAUAUUUCCUUGGCCAGAAUUCAGGUUCUUCACAGUUAUCUCUGGGAGAAAGUUCAAUCAGUAACAUACAAAAAUCUGUUCUUUGUCCAGCAAGAAUGAAGUCAACAUCAGAGAUUAGUGAGGGUGUCACUGCAGGUGUCAGGGAAGCCAACCACAGGAAGAGAUGAGAGUGAAAACCUGGCUCAGAUUGACUUUGUCAACUUGCAUCAGACUCUGGGGAGUCUAAUACGAGGCAUCUUAUUGUAGGCAUAUUUAAACACAGUAGAAUUUGGGGACGCGUCUCUAUACUAACAACAGUUCCCAUAGUCAUUCCACUUCCAGUUGCACAACAGAGCUUAAGGUGUGACUGCAGAGAAACACUAUUACAAAGUCCAUGUGACCAUGGGGGGCUUCUAUAUGUAAAAGUCUAGAAUUUAAUGUGGUCUCUGAGAUAGCAUAGAGGUCAGCAGGCCAUAGAGUACAUGUGACAUCUCCUCUAAAAUGGGUAAUGGUCUAGGGUCAGAAGAAUCUGGAAAGAUACAAGCAUAACCUCACCCUGAUGUUAGUAGGACAUCAGGACAUUUCCUUUGUUUUGUCUUUAGGUCUUUCCAUUUACCCUAUUCUUUAGACUCUGUCUCCUGUAGGGGAAAAUGCUUUUGGGCAGCAGUAGAAGCAUUGUCCUUUAAAAUGAAAAAAUUAAAGUUAAGAUAGGUAGAUGCAGCGUAUUAUGGGGGAUUUUGGUGGGUAUAUACACACCCUUUUCAUUUUAAGUUUUUCUCAUUUAAGUAUUUGAUAUUAUAGUUCCUCAGCAGUUUGAUUUUGUGGAUUGUAAGGGAUUUCAGUAACAUGAUUAACAGUCCAUAAGCUGCAAAAUUGACUAAAGUGUUCGCUGGUAUAAUCAGGGUCAUUAUCAGUUUUUAUUUGUUGUGUUAGGAACAAAAGGGGAAGUUGUAUAACAAAUGCCUAAUGGCAUCGGAGGUUGUUUCACCUCUGUAAACAGAAGCAAGGGUCAUAUUUGAAAAGCUAUCGACUUAUGUGAAUAUAUUUUAAAUGACCAAAUUCUAAGAUAUGGGUAAUUUCUGUUUGCCAAAUGGUGUUGGAUUUAACACCCAAUGAUUAGUUAAUGACAGCAGAGUAAAAAACAAGUAGGAUGGGGCACUGGGCUGUGGUGGCACAUGCCUUUAAUCCUAGCACUUGGGAGGCAGAGGCAGGAGGAUCUCUGUGAGUUUGAG
Peromyscus leucopus (white-footed mouse) is the source of this 2502-nucleotide long non-coding RNA. RefSeq lists it as uncharacterized. The record is from RefSeq and is a predicted model, not a curated record. The transcript is spliced from 8 exons. NCBI's taxonomy places the organism in Eukaryota, Metazoa, Chordata, Mammalia, Rodentia, Cricetidae.